Molecule: transfer RNA, 69 nt
Filed under: Tabachnickia sp. DVL-2014
Lineage: Eukaryota; Metazoa; Porifera; Hexactinellida; Amphidiscosida; Hyalonematidae
Description: tRNA-Gly
Source: RNAcentral
GCGCACAUCUUCUAACUAAGAAAUCGAACUUCCAACUCAAUAAUGAAAGUUAAAAUCUCUCUCUACGCA